RNAcentral lists this ribosomal RNA (397 nucleotides) under uncultured bacterium. RNAcentral's name for it is "partial 16S ribosomal RNA". It matches the Rfam family "Bacterial small subunit ribosomal RNA", at positions 523 to 918 of the family's 1533-position model. The record is from RNAcentral.
AUACGUAGGGGGCGAGCGUUGUCCGGAAUGAUUGGGCGUAAAGGGCGCGUAGGCGGCCCGGUAAGUCUGGAGUGAAAGUCCUGCUUUUAAGGUGGGAAUUGCUUUGGAUACUGUCGGGCUUGAGUGCAGGAGAGGUAAGUGGAAUUCCCAGUGUAGCGGUGAAAUGCGUAGAGAUUGGGAGGAACACCAGUGGCGAAGGCGACUUCCUGGACUAUAACUGACGCUGAGGCGCGAAAGUGUGGGGAGCAAACAGGAUUAGAUACCCUGGUAGUCCACACUGUAAACGAGGAAUGCUAGGUGUAGGGGGUAUCGACCCCUUCUGUGCCGCAGUUAACACAAUAAGCAUUCCGCCUGGGGAGUACGGCCGCAAGGUUGAAACUCAAAUGAAUUGACGGGG